AAGGUAGAAUGUCCCUCAUGGUCUCAUAUGUCUGAACACUUGGUGCCCAAGACCUAACCAGCUAAAGUUCCAAGCCAAGUUCUGAGAUAUUCAACUCCUAGGGAGACACUGCAUGGCCUGGAGCCUGUAUUGUCCAAACAACAGCCCUCCCAGUCUUCUGCUCGAAUUCCUUGACCUCCUCUCUGUGGUUUUAAACCCACAGGAAGUGAUGCUAUUAGGAAGUGUGGGCUUGUUGGAAGAAGUGCAUCACCGUGGGGGAUGGGCUUGGAGAGACUCUCCUCCUGGCUACCUGUGGAAGACAAUCUUCUGUUUGCCUUUGGAACAAGAUGUAGAACUUUCAGCUCCUUCUCCAG
Long non-coding RNA from Mastomys coucha (southern multimammate mouse), 353 nucleotides. RefSeq lists it as uncharacterized. The transcript has 3 exons. NCBI's taxonomy places the organism in Eukaryota, Metazoa, Chordata, Mammalia, Rodentia, Muridae. The record is from RefSeq and is a predicted model, not a curated record.